GGCGAGUCAGGUCCCCGUUGACUUUCCAGAGGCGAGUCAGGUCCCCGUUGACUUUCCAGAGGACCCUCCAGAGUCAGGUCAAGUCACUGCUGAUCCUCCAGAGUCAGGUCAAGUCACUGCUGAUCCUCCAGAGUCAGGUCAAGUCACUGCUAACACCCAAAAGUCAAGUAAAACAACAGAAUUUAGUCAGUUCACCGUUGACCGUCCAGAUUCAGGUCAAGUCACCAUUAACCUCCCAGAGUUUAUUCAAGUCACCAUUGAUCUUCAUGUGCAAAGGCAAGUCACCAGUGUUCUUUAUGGGCAAAGUCAAGUCACCAGUGUUCUUCAUGGGCAAGGUCAAGUCACCGACUAUCUUCAUGGGCAAAGGCAAAUCACCAUUGAUCUUCAUGAGCAAAUGCAAGUCAUCAUUGAUCCUCAUGAGCAGAGUCAGGUCACCAAUGAUCCUCAUGAGCAGAGUCGAGUCACCAAUGAUCCUCAUGAGCAGAGUCGAGUCACCAAUGAUCUUCCUGAAUCUAGUCUAAACUCUGCGAAACUACCGGAGCCUCUCCACGUCUCAGCCGAACUCUCUGAGCGCUCGACUGAUCCUGUCGUGGCCAUGGAGGCCACCCUUAACUUGUUCAUGUUCUCUGGUUCAGACUUGCCUAUCCAGACUUGCUCGGAUGUGGUGGUCUUCUGCGCCGAUGUGGUGGGCUCCUGUUCCGCCUGCGCCGUCCUGGUGGGCCCCAGUUCCACUUGCUCCACCCUGGAAUCCUGCCCGGUCGGCACUGUCCUGGGCCCCUGAACGCUCUGACCUACCCUGGUCCCCUUGUGGUGUUUUUUUUUUUUUUUCUCACUUCCUGUUUUUGUUCCCCUUUAUGGAGCUGACCCAAACAAACAAUUUAUUUAUUUAUUUUUUUUCAUUUCCUGUCCCUGACGUCUUGGAGCGUCUGGUAGCCGCUCUGUAGAGGAGGGGUUUUGUUACAGUGUCUGGUUUGUGUUUCCUGGGUAACCACUAGAUGAACUACAUUCCCCACGAUCCCUGUCUCCUCAUUGCACUCAGCUGUCCCUGGUCAUUAAUCAUUGCACUCAGCCAAUUCCCCAUUAGUAUUGUCAUUUCCCUGUGUAUUUAUAUCUUGUCUGUUUUAGUAUGUGUUACUGAGUCCUUGUAUUUAUCACACCACUUCGGAGUUCUGUUCUUGCCGUUUGUUUUGUGCCUGUUGAUUCUUGAUUGUCACUUUGGUUUUGACCCCUGCCUGG
Long non-coding RNA from Cyprinus carpio carpio, 1236 nucleotides. The record is from Ensembl. Lineage: Eukaryota; Metazoa; Chordata; Actinopteri; Cypriniformes; Cyprinidae.